AAUAUUGGACAAUGGGGGCAACCCUGAUCCAGCCAUGCAGCGUGUGUGAAGAUGGUCUUGGGAUUGUAUAGCACUAUAAGUUGGGAGGAAGGGCUUUAGGCUAAUACCCUGAAUUUAUGAAGUUACAUACAGACUAAUCACCGGCGAACUCUGUGCCACUAGCCGCGGUAAUACAGAGGGUGCAAGCGUUAAUCGGAAUUACUGGGCGUAAAGCUAGUGUAGGUGGUUCAGUAAGAUGGGUGUGAUAUCCCCGGGCUUAACCUGGGAACUGCUUUCAUAACUGCUGAGCUAGAGUACGAUAGAGGGUAGUGGAAUUUCCUGUGUAGCGGGGAAAUGCGUAGAUAUAGGAAGGAACACCAGUGGCGAAGGCGACUACCUGGACUGAUACUGACACUGAGGUGCGAAAGCGUGGGGAGCAAACA
Molecule: ribosomal RNA, 422 nt
Filed under: uncultured bacterium
Lineage: Bacteria
Description: partial 16S ribosomal RNA
Rfam family: Bacterial small subunit ribosomal RNA
Source: RNAcentral